AAUAGAUACCCGGGUAGUCCACCCCGUAAACGUUGGGAACUAGUUGUGGGGUCCAUUCCACGGAUUCCGUGACGCAGCUAACGCAUUAAGUUCCCCGCCUGGGGAGUACGGCCGCAAGGCUAAAACUCAAAGGAAUUGACGGGGACCCGCACAAGCGGCGGAGCAUGCGGAUUAAUUCGAUGCAACGCGAAGAACCUUACCAAGGCUUGACAUAUACGAGAACGGGCCAGAAAUGGUCAACUCUUUGGACACUCGUAAACAGGUGGUGCAUGGUUGUCGUCAGCUCGUGUCGUGAGAUGUUGGGUUAAGUCCCGCAACGAGCGCAACCCUCGUUCUAUGUUGCCAGCACGUAAUGGUGGGAACUCAUGGGAUACUGUCGGGGUCAACUCGGAGGAAGGUGGGGAUGACGUCAAAUCAUCAUGCCCCUUAUGUCUUGGGCUUCACGCAUGCUACAAUGGCUGGUACAAAGGGCUGCAAUACCGUGAGGUGGAGCGAAUCCCAAAAAGCCGGUCCCAGUUCGGAUUGAGGUCUGCAACUCGA
This 540-nucleotide ribosomal RNA is filed under the name uncultured bacterium. RNAcentral describes it as "bacterial SSU rRNA". It matches the Rfam family "Bacterial small subunit ribosomal RNA", at positions 777 to 1315 of the family's 1533-position model. The record is from RNAcentral.